AACCAGCUAUUCUAAAUAUGUUCAAAAUGCUACAGGAAAGUAUGUCUAAAGAGCUAAAGAAAAGUGUGAAAAUGAUAACUCACCAAAUAGAGAAUUUUAUAAAGAGAUAAAUAUUAUAAAAGGAGCCACCACAGUGCGAUACCAUCUCACACCAGUUAGAAUGGCAAUCAUUAAAAAGUCAGGAAACAGCAGGUGCUGGAGAGGAUGUGGAGAAAUAGGAACACUUUUACACUGUUGGUGGGACUGUAAACUAGUUCAACCAUUGUGGAAGACAGUGUGG
Molecule: long non-coding RNA, 280 nt
Filed under: Homo sapiens (human)
Lineage: Eukaryota; Metazoa; Chordata; Mammalia; Primates; Hominidae
Description: non-protein coding lnc-TASP1-13:1
Source: RNAcentral